Molecule: long non-coding RNA, 636 nt
Organism: Crotalus tigris (Tiger rattlesnake)
Lineage: Eukaryota; Metazoa; Chordata; Lepidosauria; Squamata; Viperidae
Exons: 4
Source: RefSeq, a predicted model, not a curated record
AAAAGAAAAAUGGAAACCUUGGGGGGAAGGGAGGAAGAUUCUAAAAUGGGCUGCUGAAGGAUGGUAUGGUUGGCUGCAGGAAACCUGAGCAGAUACUCUUCUAUUAGGAGUUAAACCUUGGAUUCCCUUCUCCUGAGAAACUAGAAGAGGUGAGGACCCAAAGAAAAGCUUUCUUAGUUGUCAUCCCUGCAUCACUACAGCUGGCUUCCAGAGUCCAGGAGGGCAACAACACUGUCUUCAGAAAGUACAUGGUUGGUGAUUAAGAAGAAAGAAAGUUGCACGCUAUGACUGUCUGCGGGUAAAGAGUAUAUGUAAUUAAUACGAUUAUUCUUAUGAAUCUAAUGCACAAAUAAACACAAAUACUUUCCACAUCUGAUCUGAAGCUAAAUCAGACAGGCUGACAAGCCAAUAGCCUUGGAUGGAUCAUACCUUAUUUUUGAUUAGCAAUAGCAAUAGCACUUAGACUCUCCACAGUGCUUUGCAGCCGUCUCUAAAUGGCUUACAGUAUCAGCAUAUUGCUCCCAACAGUCUGGGUCUUCAUUUUACUGACCUUGGAAGGAUGGAAGGCUGAGGUAAUCUUGAGCCACUCAGAAUUGAAUUCCUGAAGUGAGCAGUGAAUUUGCUUGCAAUACUACA